Molecule: long non-coding RNA, 526 nt
Organism: Aedes aegypti (yellow fever mosquito)
Lineage: Eukaryota; Metazoa; Arthropoda; Insecta; Diptera; Culicidae
Exons: 2
Source: RefSeq, a predicted model, not a curated record
GAUGGAAUAAAACCGUUUGUCAACAGACAAACGGUCUCUAGAAGUGAACGCCUGGAAAAAAGGCUGUUCGUCCUUAAAUAAGUGAGUGUGAAGUGAGAAGUGGAUUUCCGAACGGCCGUGAGGAUUCCCGACCAGCGUCUGCGGAAGGGAGACGGCCCAGAUCGCGUUUGGUGUACCACUAUUGGGACCAGCCGGAUUGCCCACGGUUCAGCCAUCUUCAAGCCAUCGCCAUCCGGAACCAACCGUGAGCAGAGCAACCCUUUUGCUGGUGUUGAACGGGCACGCCACCGACCAGCUUGAGAGUUUGUGUGCCGGUGUUAAAGACCUUCUGGAUUUGAAGAACGGCCGUCAGAAUCUUCCCCUCCGCUGUCCAGAAGGUUGGCAGUUCAGCAAACGCAGCAAUGGUCACCUCCACCGUAACCAAGCUGAAGUGUUAAAAGGUGUGUAAACCCGUAUACAAAUUCCCCUCCUGUUUAAAACAAUCCCAAAAUGCAUGAAAUUAUAACUUGAACUUUGUAAAUAUGAA